GACGAACGCUGGCGGCGUGCUUAACACAUGCAAGUCGAACGGAAAGGCCCUGCUUUUGUGGGGUGCUCGAGUGGCGAACGGGUGAGUAACACGUGAGUAACCUGCCCUUGACUUUGGGAUAACUUCGGGAAACUGGGGCUAAUACCGGAUAGGAGCUCCUGCUGCAUGGUGGGGGUUGGAAAGUUUCGGCGGUUGGGGAUGGACUCGCGGCUUAUCAGCUUGUUGGUGGGGUAGUGGCUUACCAAGGCUUUGACGGGUAGCCGGCCUGAGAUGGUGACCGGCCACAUUGGGCCUGGGAUACGGCCCAGACUCCUACGGGAGGCAGCAGUGGGGAAUAUUGCACAAUGGGCGGAAGCCUGAUGCAGCAACGCCGCGUGCGGGAUGACGGCCUUCGGGUUGUAAACCGCUUUCGCCUGUGACGAAGCGUGAGUGACGGUAAUGGGUAAAGAAGCACCGGCUAACUACGUG
RNAcentral lists this ribosomal RNA (468 nucleotides) under uncultured bacterium. RNAcentral describes it as "partial 16S ribosomal RNA". It matches the Rfam family "Bacterial small subunit ribosomal RNA", at positions 28 to 507 of the family's 1533-position model. The record is from RNAcentral.